GACGAACGCUGGCGGCGUGCUUAACACAUGCAAGUCGAACGGUAAGGCCCUUCGGGGUACACGAGUGGCGAACGGGUGAGUAACACGUGGGUGAUCUGCCCUGCACUUCGGGAUAAGCCUGGGAAACUGGGUCUAAUACCGGAUAGGACCACUGCCUGCAUGGGGGGUGGUGGAAAGCUUUUGCGGUGUGGGAUGGGCCCGCGGCCUAUCAGCUUGUUGGUGGGGUGAUGGCCUACCAAGGCGACGACGGGUAGCCGGCCUGAGAGGGUGACCGGCCACACUGGGACUGAGAUACGGCCCAGACUCCUACGGGAGGCAGCAGUGGGGAAUACUGCACAAUGGGCGCAAGCCUGAUGCAGCGACGCCGCGUGGGGGAUGACGGCCUUCGGGUUGUAACCUCUUUCAGCACCGACGAAGCGCAAGUGACGGUAGGUGCAGAAGAAGGACCGGCCAACUACGUGCCAGCCGCCGCCGUAA
RNAcentral lists this ribosomal RNA (477 nucleotides) under uncultured bacterium. RNAcentral's name for it is "partial 16S ribosomal RNA". It matches the Rfam family "Bacterial small subunit ribosomal RNA", at positions 28 to 523 of the family's 1533-position model. The record is from RNAcentral.